RNAcentral lists this ribosomal RNA (510 nucleotides) under uncultured Methanocella sp. RNAcentral's name for it is "bacterial SSU rRNA". It matches the Rfam family "Archaeal small subunit ribosomal RNA", at positions 1 to 518 of the family's 1478-position model. The record is from RNAcentral. Lineage: Archaea; Methanobacteriati; Methanobacteriota; Methanomicrobia; Methanocellales; Methanocellaceae.
UUCCGGUUGAUCCUGCCAGAGGUCACUGCUAUCGGUGUCCGAUUAAGCCAUGCGAGUCGAGAGGUGUAAGACCUCGGCAGACUGCUCAGUAACACGUGGAUAACCUGCCCAAGGGUCCGGGAUAACCCCGGGAAACUGGGGAUAAUACCGGAUGGGUCACCAGUGCUGGAAUGCUUGGUGGUCGAAAGGUGACGCCUUUGGAUGGGUCUGCGGCGGAUUAGGUUGACGCCGGUGUAACGUACCGGCGUGCCUGUAGUCCGUACGGGUUGUGGGAGCAAGAGCCCGGAGAUGGAUUCUGAGACACGAAUCCAGGCCCUACGGGGCGCAGCAGGCGCGAAAACUCUACAAUGCAGGCAACUGCGAUAGGGGGACAUCGAGUGGCAUCCACCUUGGGUGUCUGUCCAACCGUCUAAAAAACGGUUGUUAGCAAGGGCCGGGCAAGACCGGUGCCAGCCGCCGCGGUAAUACCGGCGGCUCGAGUGGUGGCCGAUAUUAUUGAGUCUAAAGGGU